Molecule: ribosomal RNA, 450 nt
Filed under: uncultured bacterium
Lineage: Bacteria
Description: partial 16S ribosomal RNA
Rfam family: Bacterial small subunit ribosomal RNA
Source: RNAcentral
GUAGGGAAUCUUCCACAAUGGACGAAAGUCUGAUGGAGCAACGCCGCGUGAGUGAAGAAGGUCUUCGGAUCGUAAAACUCUGUUGUUAGAGAAGAACGUGCAUGAUAGUAACUGAUCAUGUAAUGACGGUAUCUAACCAGAAAGCCACGGCUAACUACGUGCCAGCAGCCGCGGUAAUACGUAGGUGGCAAGCGUUGUCCGGAUUUAUUGGGCGUAAAGGGAACGCAGGCGGUUUUUUAAGUCUGAUGUGAAAGCCUUCGGCUUAACCGAAGAUUAGCAUUGGAAACUGGAAGACUUGAGUGCAGAAGAGGAGAGUGGAAUUCCAUGUGUAGCGGUGAAAUGCGUAGAUAUAUGGAGGAACACCAGUGGCGAAGGCGACUUUCUGGACGAUGUCUGACGCUGAGGCGCGAAAGCUAGGGGAGCGAACGGGAUUAGAUACCCUGGUAGUCC